This 468-nucleotide ribosomal RNA is filed under the name uncultured bacterium. RNAcentral describes it as "partial 16S ribosomal RNA". It matches the Rfam family "Bacterial small subunit ribosomal RNA", at positions 28 to 507 of the family's 1533-position model. The record is from RNAcentral.
GACGAACGCUGGCGGCGUGCUUAACACAUGCAAGUCGAACGGAAAGGCCCUGCUUUUGUGGGGUGCUCGAGUGGCGAACGGGUGAGUAACACGUGAGUAACCUGCCCUUGACUUUGGGAUAACUUCAGGAAACUGGGGCUCAUACCGGAUAGGAGCUCCUGCUGCAUGGGGGGGGUUGGAAAGUUUCGGCGGUUGGGGAUGGGCUCGCGGCUUAUCAGCUUGUUGGUGGGGUAGUGGCUUACCAAGGCUUUGACGGGUAGGCCGCCUGGGAGGGGGAACGGGCACCAUAGUGCUACGGUAGCGACCAGUCUCCUACGGGAGGCAGCAGUGGAGAAUAUUGCACAAUGGGCGGAAGCCUGAUGCAGCAACGCCGCGUGCGGGAUGACGGCUUUCGGGUUGUAAACCGCUUUCGACUGUGACGAAGCGUGAGUGACGGUAAUGGGUAAAGAAGCACCGGCUAACUACGUG